UUAAGGUAAGAAGGGCAUGCGGUGGAUGCCUUGGCAAUGGGAGGCGAAGAAGGACGUGGCAGGCUGCGAAAAGCGACGGUGAGCUGCGAGUGAGCGUUGACCCGUCGACAUCCGAAUGGGGAAACCCACUUGGCGAGAGCCAAGUAUCUCCUGAAUUGGAGAGGCGAACCGGGUGAAGUGAAACAUCUCAGUAACCCGAGGAAAAGAAAUCGAAGAGAUUCCCUGAGUAGCGGCGAGCGAAAGGGGAAGAGCCCAAAAUCAUAACGUGUCAAAGGUCAGGGCCGUUGCGUUAUGGUGGUUGUGGGGCGUUUGUAGCCGUUCCUGAAGACGGCGAGAGGAAGGCUUGUUUAGCCGAGAGGUCUGGGAAGGCCUACCAAAGAAGGUGAAAGUCCUGUAGGCGAAAAGCAAAUCAGACUCUUUCAAGCGUACCCGAGUAGGGCGGGACACGAGAAAUCCCGUUUGAAACUGGAGAGACCAUUCUCCAAGGCUAAAUACUACCCAUUGACCGAUAGCGGACAGUACCGUGAGGGAAAGGUGAAAAGCACCCCGGGAGGGGGAUGAAAGAGAACCUGAAACCGCAUGUCUACAAGAGGUCGAAGCGCGGAAGCGCGACGGCGUGCCUUUUGAUUAAUGCGCCUGCGAGUUGUGCUGUGUGGCGAGGUUAAGUCGAAUGAGAUGAAGCCGAAGGGAAACCGAGUCUGAAUAGGGCGAAUAGUCACAUGGUGCAGACCCGAAACCGGAUGAGCUACCCAUGGCCAGGGUGAAGGUGGGCUAAACCCCACUGGAGGCCCGAACCAGUUGCUAGUGAAAAAGCAUUGGAUGAGCUGUGGGUAGGAGUGAAAAGCUAACCGAAUCCGGUGAUAGCUGGUUCUCCUCGAAACGUAUUGAAGUACGGCCUCGUUUGGUUAAUCAUGGAGGUAGAGCACUGAAUGGGGUAGGGGGCGUGAGCCUUCCGAACCCAAUCAAACUCCGAAUGCCAUGACUCAAAGAACGGGAGACAGACUGCGAGGGAUAAGCCACGUAGUCGAGAGGGAAAUAGCCCAGACCGUCAGUUAAGGUCCCUAAGAAUGGCUAAGUGUUAAAGGAAGUGAAGUGCCGAAGACAGCCAGGAGGUUGGCUCAGAAGCAGUCAUCCUUAAAAGAGUGCGUAACAGCUCACUGGUUGAGGCACGUUGCACCGAAGAUGUAAGGGGGCUAAAGCCAUUCACCGAAACUACGGAACAUACGCAAGUAUGUUGGUAGAGGAGCGUUGGAUUGUAGGGAGAAGGCAGACCUGCGAGGGCUGCUGGACGAAAUCCAAGUGCGGAUGCAGGCAUGAGUAACGAGAGGAAGGUGAGAAUCCUUCCCCCCUUAAGCCUAAGGGUACCUGGGGAAGGCUUGUCCACCCAGGGUUAGGCGGUACCCUAAGGGAAAGGCGAAAGCCGUACCCGAUGGGAAGCCGGUCAACAUUCCGGCCCUUGGAAGCUGGAGCGAAGUGGUGACGCAGGAGGAUAAGCUGUGUGGUCAAGUGGCAAGGCCAUCCAAGCGGCAAGGUAGUGUGCGCAGGCAAAUCCACGCACAUGUUAAUCUGAGCCGUAACGGGAAGUGGUGCAGCGAUGCACUGCGACACAGCCGUGUUCACACUGCCGAGAAAAGCCUCUAAGUGAUGAAAGCUUUCAAACCGUUCUACAAACCGACACAGGUAGGCUGGCAUAGCAUGCUAAGGGGGACGGGAGAACUUCCGUUAAGGAACUAGGCAAAAUAGCCCCGUAACUUCGGGAAAAGGGGCGCUCAGAGGCGUGGGCAACUGCGCUUUUGAGCCGCAGUGAAAAGAUCCAGGCGACUGUUUACCAAAAACACAGGACUCUGCGAACUCCAUAAAGAGGAAGUAUAGGGUCUGACGCCUGCCCAGUGCCGGAAGGUUAAGGAGAGCGGUGAUGAGCUGCGAACUGAAGCCCCGGUAAACGGCGGCCGUAACUAUAACGGUCCUAAGGUAGCGAAAUUCCUUGUCGGGU
This 1993-nucleotide ribosomal RNA is filed under the name uncultured bacterium. RNAcentral's name for it is "bacterial LSU rRNA". It matches the Rfam family "Bacterial large subunit ribosomal RNA", at positions 3 to 1977 of the family's 2925-position model. The record is from RNAcentral.